RNAcentral lists this ribosomal RNA (468 nucleotides) under uncultured bacterium. RNAcentral's name for it is "partial 16S ribosomal RNA". It matches the Rfam family "Bacterial small subunit ribosomal RNA", at positions 28 to 507 of the family's 1533-position model. The record is from RNAcentral.
GAUGAACGCUGGCGGCGUGCUUAACACAUGCAAGUCGAACGGUGAAGGCGGAGCUUGCUCUGCUGGAUCAGUGGCGAACGGGUGAGUAACACGUGAGCAAUCUGCCCCUGACUCUGGGAUAAGCGCUGGAAACGGCGCCUAAUACUGGAUACGAGCUGCGCAGGCAUCUUCAGCAGCUGGAAAGAAUUUCGGUCAGGGAUGAGCUCGCGGCCUAUCAGCUUGUUGGUGAGGUAAUGGCUCACCAAGGCGUCGACGGGUAGCCGGCCUGAGAGGGUGACCGGCCACACUGGGACUGAGAGACGGCCCAGACUCCUACGGGAGGCAGCAGUGGGGAAUAUUGCACAAUGGGCGAAAGCCUGAUGCAGCAACGCCGCGUGAGGGACGACGGCCUUCGGGUUGUAAACCUCUUUUAGCAGGGAAGAAGCGAAAGUGACGGUACCUGCAGAAAAAGCGCCGGCUAACUACGUG